AGGACUACACUGUCUCCUUUUUCUAAUCAAUGAAACUGAUCUCCUCGUGAAGAAGCGAGGAUAAAUAUAUAAGACGAGAAGACCCUAUGGAGCUUUAAACAACCGGGAUAUUUGCUAAUUCAUAAUAUAUCUUCUGAAAACUAAACAAAUUAAAGCAUCUUACCCCCAAGUUUUAGGUUGGGGUGACCACGGAGAAAAAAUUAACCUCCAUGUUGUAAGAAGUCUACCAUCUUCUAAGCUUAGAGUCACAUCUCCAAGCAUCAACACAUUGACUCUCAUUGACCCAAUAAUUUGAUCAACGAACCAAGUUACCCUAGGGAUAACAGCGCAAUCUACUUUAAGAGCUCAUAUCGACAAGUAGGUUUACGACCUCGAUGUU
Molecule: ribosomal RNA, 379 nt
Filed under: Ranitomeya amazonica
Lineage: Eukaryota; Metazoa; Chordata; Amphibia; Anura; Dendrobatidae
Description: partial 16S ribosomal RNA
Rfam family: Bacterial large subunit ribosomal RNA
Source: RNAcentral